Vespula vulgaris is the source of this 802-nucleotide long non-coding RNA. RefSeq lists it as uncharacterized. The record is from RefSeq and is a predicted model, not a curated record. Lineage: Eukaryota; Metazoa; Arthropoda; Insecta; Hymenoptera; Vespidae. The transcript has 4 exons.
GUCGUCUCUCGUCUUUACGCUCUGCGCGCAUUCGUACCAUUACGAAUAUAGCUCGUUCGUAAAAGUAUUGGAAGAUGUCGAUGCAACUGUCAUUAAUAAUCAUUUUUGAAUCAAAGCCUCAUUCGGUCCUACAUAUCGGAAAUAUCGUUUGAAAUUCUCUCUUUCGUGUUUCUAACGUUCGUGGUUCUACUACGUGAAAAUUUCGCGGUAAAUUUUAUAUGUAAAUAUAAAUAAAAUAAAAGAAAUACAGAUUUCUAACAAUAAUAGGUUACUUUAAUAUUCGUACUAUCUUUCUACAAUAAUUUCGAAAAAAUGAACAAAGCUUGGAAGAAGGUUUAAAGAAAAAAACUAAACAAAUAUAAAGGAUCAUUUUAACCUACUCAUCUUCACGUCGAAAAUGAAUCUCUUUGAAAUGAUCGUCGUGUUUGUAUCCAACGACCGCGUUUUACCGCUUAGAGAAAGGAAUCCGCGCAGACCGCAAGAUGUCUAGCUGCCGCGCAAGAUAACAGGAGAACAUAUUGCACAUGUAUUGCCAGCGUGCAUACUUCGAAUCGCGGAGCUACUCAAGCUGCUUUUAUUAUACAUAUAUACAUACUUAAGCAAUAACAUCACAUCGAUUUUUACAUUAAUUCCAAUUUUUUCUUUAUAUUUUCAAAUAUUAUUUCAGAAGAGUGUUAUCUCUCGUACUUGUUACAUACGUAUUAAAAAUGAAUUUUUUAAGGUUAGAAAAAUAUAAUAUAUAUUUCUUUGCACAAUAAUAUUGCUUAAUUAUAUUUAUCUGAUAGAGUUAUUUUUAUACAUA